CUAGCUUGCUAGUUGCUGACGAGUGGCGGACGGGUGAGUAAUACUUAGGGAUCUGCCUCUGUGUGGGGGAUAACUAUUGGAAACGAUAGCUAAUACCGCAUAACGUCUACGGACCAAAGAGGGCUUCGGCUCUCGCGCAGAGAGGAACCUAAGCGAGAUUAGCUUGUUGGUGAGGUAAAGGCUCACCAAGGCGACGAUCUCUAGCUGUUCUGAGAGGAAGAUCAGCCACACUGGAACUGAGACACGGUCCAGACUCCUACGGGAGGCAGCAGUGGGGAAUAUUGCACAAUGGGGGCAACCCUGAUGCAGCCAUGCCGCGUGUGUGAAGAAGGCCUUCGGGUUGUAAAGCACUUUCAGUUGUGAGGAAAGGUUAGUAGUUAAUACCUGCUAGCUGUGACGUUAACAACAGAAGAAGCACCGGCUAACUCCGUGCCAGCAGCCGCGGUAAUACGGAGGGUGCGAGCGUUAAUCGGAAUUACUGGGCGUAAAGCGCACGCAGGCGGUCUGUUAAGCUAGAUGUGAAAGCCCCGCGCUCAACGUGGGAGGGUCAUUUAGAACUGGCAGACUAGAGUCUUG
RNAcentral lists this ribosomal RNA (576 nucleotides) under uncultured Aestuariibacter sp. Its description in RNAcentral is "bacterial SSU rRNA". It matches the Rfam family "Bacterial small subunit ribosomal RNA", at positions 75 to 651 of the family's 1533-position model. Lineage: Bacteria; Pseudomonadati; Pseudomonadota; Gammaproteobacteria; Alteromonadales; Alteromonadaceae. The record is from RNAcentral.